UACGGAGGGUGCAAGCGUUAUCCGGAUUCACUGGGUUUAAAGGGUGCGUAGGUGGGCCUGUAAGUCAGCGGUGAAAUCUCCGGGCUUAACCCGGAAACUGCCAUUGAUACUAUAGGUCUUGAAUUAUCUGGAGGUAAGCGGAAUAUGUCAUGUAGCGGUGAAAUGCUUAGAUAUGACAUAGAACACCAAUUGCGAAGGCAGCUUACUACGGAUCGAUUGACACUGAGGCACGAAAGCGUGGGGAUCAAACA
This 251-nucleotide ribosomal RNA is filed under the name uncultured bacterium. RNAcentral describes it as "partial 16S ribosomal RNA". It matches the Rfam family "Bacterial small subunit ribosomal RNA", at positions 524 to 774 of the family's 1533-position model. The record is from RNAcentral.